GAAUUUGCCGCCGCGAAUUCGCCCUUCAGGCCUAACCAUGCAAGUCGAACGGAACCUUUCGGGGUUCAGUGGCGCACGGGUGCAUAACACGUAGCUCAUCUGCCCCGGAGCGCGGGAUAACGUGCGGAAACGCACGCUAAUACCGCCUACGGUCACUGGUUGUAGAAGCCAGUGAAGAAAGGCGCAAGCCACUCUGGGAGGAGGCUGCGGCCCAUCAGGUAGUUGGUGUGGUAAAAGCGCACCAAGCCGACGACGGGUCGGGGGUCUGAGAGGAUGACCCCCCACACUGGGACUGAGACACGGCCCAGACUCCUACGGGAGGCAGCAGUGAGGGAUAUUGCGCAAUGGGGGAAACCCUGACGCAGCGACGCCGCGUGGGCGAUGAAGGCUUUCGGGUCGUAAAGCCCUUUUCCCACUGAGGAGAACGGACAGUAGGUGGGGAAUAAGUCUCGGCUAACUACGUGCCAGCAGCCGCGGUAAAACGUAGGAGGCGAGCGUUAUCCGGAGUUACUGGGCGUAAAGCGCGUGCAGGCGGUUCGGUAAGUGGCGGGUGAAAGCGCCUGGCUCAACCAGGCGAGUGCCGGUCAGACUGCUGGACUGGAAUGUCGGAGAGGGACGCGGAAUUCCGGGUGUAGCGGUGAAAUGUGCAGAGAUCCGGAGGAACACCAGCGCCGAAAGGGGCGUCCUGGACGACAAUUGACGCUGAGACGCGACAGCGUGGGGAGCGAACGGGAUUAGAGACCCCGGUAGUCCACGCCGUAAACGAUGCCAACUCGAUGUCGGUGCCGCGAAAGCGGUUUCGGUGUCCAAGUUAACGCGAUAAGUUGGCCGCCUGGGGAGUACGGUCGCAAGGCUAAAACUCAAAGGAAUUGACGGGGGGCCGCACAAGCAGCGGAGCGU
Molecule: ribosomal RNA, 900 nt
Filed under: uncultured bacterium
Lineage: Bacteria
Description: bacterial SSU rRNA
Rfam family: Bacterial small subunit ribosomal RNA
Source: RNAcentral